This 246-nucleotide ribosomal RNA is filed under the name uncultured bacterium. Its description in RNAcentral is "partial 16S ribosomal RNA". It matches the Rfam family "Bacterial small subunit ribosomal RNA", at positions 527 to 772 of the family's 1533-position model. The record is from RNAcentral.
GUAGGGGGCAAGCGUUAUCCGGAUUUACUGGGUGUAAAGGGAGCGUAGACGGUAUGGCAAGUCUGAUGUGAAAACCCGGGGCUCCACCCCGGGACUGCAUUGGAAACUGCCGAACUAGAGUGUCGGAGAGGCAAGUGGAAUUCCUAGUGUAGCGGUGAAAUGCGUAGAUAUUAGGAGGAACACCAGUGGCGAAGGCGGCUUGCUGGACGAUGACUGACGUUGAGGCUCGAAAGCGUGGGGAGCAAA